Molecule: unclassified non-coding RNA, 353 nt
Filed under: soil metagenome
Description: partial contains 5.8S ribosomal RNA, internal transcribed spacer 2, and large subunit ribosomal RNA
Rfam family: 5.8S ribosomal RNA (bases 1-120)
Source: RNAcentral
GAUGAAGAACGUAGCGAAAUGCGAUAAGUAAUGUGAAUUGCAGAAUUCAGUGAAUCAUCGAAUCUUUGAACGCACAUUGCGCCCGCCAGUAUUCUGGCGGGCAUGCCUGUUCGAGCGUCAUUACAACCCUCAGGCCCCCGGGCCUGGCGUUGGGGAUCGGCGGAAGCCCCCUGCGGGCACAACGCCGUCCCCCAAAUACAGUGGCGGUCCCGCCGCAGCUUCCAUUGCGUAGUAGCUAACACCUCGCAACUGGAGAGCGGCGCGGCCACGCCGUAAAACACCCAACUUCUGAAUGUUGACCUCGAAUCAGGUAGGAAUACCCGCUGAACUUAAGCAAAUCAAUAAGCGGAGGA